GGUUAAGUGACUAAGCGUACACGGUGGAUGCCUAGGCAGUCAGAGGCGAUGAAGGACGUGCUAAUCUGCGAUAAGCGUCGGUGAGCUGAUAUGAAGCGUUAUUAGCCGGCGAUGUCCGAAUGGGGAAACCCAGUGCAAUCCGUUGCACUAUCGUUAAGUGAAUACAUAGCUUAACGAGGCGAACCAGGGGAACUGAAACAUCUAAGUACCCUGAGGAAAAGAAAUCAACCGAGAUUCCCCUAGUAGCGGCGAGCGAACGGGGAAGAGCCCAGAACCUGAAUCAGUUUGUGCAUUAGUGGAAGCGUCUGGAAAGUCGCGCGAUACAGGGUGAUAGCCCCGUACACGAAGGUGCACAGCUGUGAGUUCGAUGAGUAGGGCGGGACACGUGUUAUCCUGUCUGAAUAUGGGGGGACCAUCCUCCAAGGCUAAAUACUCCUGACUGACCGAUAGUGAACCAGUACCGUGAGGGAAAGGCGAAAAGAACCCCGGCGAGGGGAGUGAAAUAGAACCUGAAACCGUGUACGUACAAGCAGUGGGAGCAUCCUUCGGGGUGUGACUGCGUACCUUUUGUAUAAUGGGUCAGCGACUUAUAUUUUGUAGCAAGGUUAACCGAAUAGGGGAGCCGUAGGGAAACCGAGUCUUAACUGGGCGUCUAGUUGCAAGGUAUAGACCCGAAACCCGGUGAUCUAGCCAUGGGCAGGUUGAAGGUUGGGUAACACUAACUGGAGGACCGAACCGACUAAUGUUGAAAAAUUAGCGGAUGACUUGUGGCUGGGGGUGAAAGGCCAAUCAAACCGGGAGAUAGCUGGUUCUCCCCGAAAGCUAUUUAGGUAGCGCCUCGUGAACUCAUCUUCGGGGGUAGAGCACUGUUUCGGCUAGGGGGUCAUCCCGACUUACCAACCCGAUGCAAACUACGAAUACCGAAGAAUGUUAUCACGGGAGACACACGGCGGGUGCUAACGUCCGUCGUGAAGAGGGAAACAACCCAGACCGCCAGCUAAGGUCCCAAAGUCAUGGUUAAGUGGGAAACGAUGUGGGAAGGCAUAGACAGCCAGGAUGUUGGCUUAGAAGCAGCCAUCAUUUAAAGAAAGCGUAAUAGCUCACUGGUCGAGUCGGCCUGCGCGGAAGAUGUAACGGGGCUAAACCAUGCACCGAAGCUGCGGCAGCGACGCUUAGGCGUUGUUGGGUAGGGGAGCGUUCUGUAAGCCUGCGAAGGUGGCCUGUGAGGGCUGCUGGAGGUAUCAGAAGUGCGAAUGCUGACAUAAGUAACGAUAAAGCGGGUGAAAAGCCCGCUCGCCGGAAGACCAAGGGUUCCUGUCCAACGUUAAUCGGGGCAGGGUAAGUCGACCCCUAAGGCGAGGCUGAAAAGCGUAGUCGAUGGGAAACAGGUUAAUAUUCCUGUACUUGGUGUUAUUGCGAAGGGGGACGGAGAAGGCUAGACCGGCCGGGCGACGGUUGUCCCGGUUUAAGCGUGUAGGUGGGGUAACUUGGCAAAUCCGGUUACCUUUAACACUGAGGCGUGAUGACGAGGCACUACGGUGCUGAAGUGGUUAAUGCCCUGCUUCCAGGAAAAGCCUCUAAGCUCCAGAUAACACUGAAUCGUACCCCAAACCGACACAGGUGGUCAGGUAGAGAAUACCAAGGCGCUUGAGAGAACUCGGGUGAAGGAACUAGGCAAAAUGGUGCCGUAACUUCGGGAGAAGGCACGCUGGCACGUAGGUGAAGUCCCUUGCGGAUGGAGCCGAAGCCAGUCGAAGAUACCAGCUGGCUGCAACUGUUUAAUAAAAACACAGCACUCUGCAAACACGAAAGUGGACGUAUAGGGUGUGACGCCUGCCCGGUGCUGGAAGGUUAAUUGAUGGGGUCAGCCGCAAGGCGAAGCUCUUGAUCGAAGCCCCAGUAAACGGCGGCCGUAACUAUAACGGUCCUAAGGUAGCGAAAUUCCUUGUCGGGUAAGUUCCGACCUGCACGAAUGGCGUAAUGAUGGCCAGGCUGUCUCCACCCGAGACUCAGUGAAAUUGAACUCGCUGUGAAGAUGCAGUGUACCCGCGGCAAGACGGAAAGACCCCGUGAACCUUUACUAUAGCUUGACACUGAACAUUGAACCUUGAUGUGUAGGAUAGGUGGGAGGCUUUGAAGUGUGGACGCCAGUCUGCAUGGAGCCGACCUUGAAAUACCACCCCUUUAAUGUUUGAUGUUCUAACCUGGUCCCGUGAUCCGGGAUAGGGACAGUGUCUGGUGGGUAGUUUGACUGGGGCGGUCUCCUCCCAAAGAGUAACGGAGGAGCACGAAGGUUAGCUAAUCCUGGUCGGACAUCAGGAGGUUAGUGCAAAGGCAUAAGCUAGCUUGACUGCGAGAGUGACGGCUCGAGCAGGUGCGAAAGCAGGUCUUAGUGAUCCGGUGGUUCUGAAUGGAAGGGCCAUCGCUCAACGGAUAAAAGGUACUCCGGGGAUAACAGGCUGAUACCGCCCAAGAGUUCAUAUCGACGGCGGUGUUUGGCACCUCGAUGUCGGCUCAUCACAUCCUGGGGCUGAAGUAGGUCCCAAGGGUAUGGCUGUUCGCCAUUUAAAGUGGUACGCGAGCUGGGUUUAGAACGUCGUGAGACAGUUCGGUCCCUAUCUGCCGUGGGCGUUGGAAGAUUGAGAGGGGCUGCUCCUAGUACGAGAGGACCGGAGUGGACGCACCGCUGGUGUUCGGGUUGUGAUGCCAAUUGCAUUGCCCGGUAGCUACGUGCGGAAAAGAUAAGCGCUGAAAGCAUCUAAGCGCGAAACUUGCCUCGAGAUGAGUCUUCCCUUGGACCUUGAGUCCACUGAAGGAACGUUUAAGACUAAGACGUUGAUAGGCUGGGUGUGUAAGCGUAGCGAUACGUUGAGCUAACCAGUACUAAUGAUCCGUGAGACUUAACCUU
RNAcentral lists this ribosomal RNA (2908 nucleotides) under Edwardsiella piscicida. RNAcentral's name for it is "23S ribosomal RNA". It matches the Rfam family "Bacterial large subunit ribosomal RNA". The record is from RNAcentral. Lineage: Bacteria; Pseudomonadati; Pseudomonadota; Gammaproteobacteria; Enterobacterales; Hafniaceae.